RNAcentral lists this ribosomal RNA (348 nucleotides) under Pantoea sp. BC1_NA3E3. RNAcentral's name for it is "bacterial SSU rRNA". It matches the Rfam family "Bacterial small subunit ribosomal RNA", at positions 1002 to 1350 of the family's 1533-position model. Lineage: Bacteria; Pseudomonadati; Pseudomonadota; Gammaproteobacteria; Enterobacterales; Erwiniaceae. The record is from RNAcentral.
AGAGAUGGAUUGGUGCCUUCGGGAACUCUGAGACAGGUGCUGCAUGGCUGUCGUCAGCUCGUGUUGUGAAAUGUUGGGUUAAGUCCCGCAACGAGCGCAACCCUUAUCCUUUGUUGCCAGCGGUCCGGCCGGGAACUCAAAGGAGACUGCCAGUGAUAAACUGGAGGAAGGUGGGGAUGACGUCAAGUCAUCAUGGCCCUUACGAGUAGGGCUACACACGUGCUACAAUGGCGCAUACAAAGAGAAGCGAACUCGCGAGAGCAAGCGGACCUCAUAAAGUGCGUCGUAGUCCGGAUUGGAGUCUGCAACUCGACUCCAUGAAGUCGGAAUCGCUAGUAAUCGUAGAUC